RNAcentral lists this non-coding RNA (159 nucleotides) under Segatella oulorum. Lineage: Bacteria; Pseudomonadati; Bacteroidota; Bacteroidia; Bacteroidales; Prevotellaceae. The record is from RNAcentral.
UGGUUCACAACCGAGUUUUGAUUAAAAGGGAAUAAGGUGAGAGUCCUUAACAGUCCCGCUGCUGUAAUCGGUAUUGUUGAAGAAGCGUAUGCCACUGACAUUGGGUCGGGAAGGUGUUUCUUCGAAAGCCGAAAAGUCAGAAGACCUGCCAUUGCCUAU